CAGAAAAGGAGGAAACUGCAGGUCCCAAGAUAUGCAGUAGAUGAGGCUGAGUGUCCUGAACCAAUGGGAUGGGACUUCAGGGCCAGUCGGUGCUAGACACUGGGGAGAUCGUAUCUCCAAAGAGCUCAGCCAGUGAGAACACAACAGGACAGAGAAAGCAGUUUGGGAUAUAAGAAAAAUCUGUUUGGGGCCAAAUCCCUGCACCAGCCACCUUUGCCCUUUCUCUGGGCCAACACCGGAGUUUACAAGCUUUCCUGUCCCCGAGUGGAGGAAAAUUGCAGCUCUCUCCAUGGUGAACGGAGAUGACAGAGAAUCACUGGGAAGUCUCAGGGACUGUCUGCCAUGCGGUUUGAAGAUGGAUGGCAAAUCAUCUACUCCACCCUUAAUGGCCUGUGCUGUGGAAGAUACUGCUAACUCAGCACAGCCAUGCUUCCUACAACUCAUAAUGUCCAUCAAGGUCACAAAGCUGGUCCAGUAUCAUGUUGCCAGGAGUGGUCGUCACCAAAUCCCGGCUCUAGUGAUCUGUCCGAGGACUUGGCAGAAGAGCUAUCCUUGUCAUCAUAUUUCCAUAUUGAAGUCCAAAUGACUCUGCUAUUGAUUAUUAAAUAGCACCACGUGCUGUAUUUUAAAACAAAACUAAUGUAAAAACAAGGGAAGGAGUUGAUGUCUCUCUGGUGAGCUGGGUGACAUACACCUAUAAUCCCAGGCACAUGGGAAGAUAGGACAGAAAGAUUUUGGUUUCAAUGCCAGUGCAUGUUACAUAGUAAGACUCUGUCUUAAAGAGGAAGAAGAAGGAAGAGGAGGAAGAAGUAGAAGAAGAGGAGGAGGAGAAGGAGAAAAAAAACCCAAACAAGCAACAACAACCAAAACCAUGGUGGUCAGCCAGAUGGUUCAUCGGAUUAAAGUACUUGCCGUACAAGCUGAGUUUUAUUCCCAGAAUCUACAUUAGAAAGCCAGAUGUGGUGGCACACAUCUGUAAUCCCAACAUUUCUAUGAUAUAACUGGGAGGUGGGACAGGAGAAUCUCCUGAAGACUCAUGGGCUGGCUAGCCUGGAGCAAGCAAUAGCAGAGACAAGAGAGGCCCUUCCUCAGCAAGGGAGAAGGAGAGGAUCACUCCAGA
RNAcentral lists this long non-coding RNA (1120 nucleotides) under Cricetulus griseus (Chinese hamster). Its description in RNAcentral is "lncRNA (ENSCGRG00015039342.1)". The record is from RNAcentral. Lineage: Eukaryota; Metazoa; Chordata; Mammalia; Rodentia; Cricetidae.